AUUAAGUAAGCAAAGAUUGUAGUUGAUUUAGAAUCAAAAGAUGGUAAUGAAAUUGUACCACUUAAUU
Molecule: transfer RNA, 67 nt
Filed under: Hanleyella oldroydi
Lineage: Eukaryota; Metazoa; Mollusca; Polyplacophora; Lepidopleurida; Lepidopleuridae
Description: tRNA-Leu
Source: RNAcentral